RNAcentral lists this ribosomal RNA (232 nucleotides) under uncultured bacterium. RNAcentral's name for it is "partial 16S ribosomal RNA". It matches the Rfam family "Bacterial small subunit ribosomal RNA", at positions 99 to 334 of the family's 1533-position model. The record is from RNAcentral.
CGGACGGGUGAGUAAUGUAUAGGAACUUGCCUAGUAGUGGGGGACAACGUGUGGAAACGCACGCUAAUACCGCAUACGCUCUACGGAGGAAAGCGGGGGAUCUUCGGACCUCGUGCUACUAGAUGGGCCUAUAUUGGAUUAGCUAGUUGGUAAGGUAAAGGCUUACCAAGGCGACGAUCCAUAGCUGGUUUGAGAGAGUGAUCAGCCACACUGGGACUGAGACACGGCCCAG